GUGGAUUAGAUACCCUGGUAGUCCUAGCCGUAAACGAUGUCGACUAGCCGUUGGGAGACUUGAUUUCUUAGUGGCGCAGCUAACGCGAUAAGUCGACCGCCUGGGGAGUACGGCCGCAAGGUUAAAACUCAAAUGAAUUGACGGGGGCCCGCACAAGCGGUGGAGCAUGUGGUUUAAUUCGAUGCAACGCGAAGAACCUUACCAGGUCUUGACAUCCUGCGAACUGCCCAGAGAUGGGUGGGUGCCUUCGGGAGCGCAGAGACAGGUGCUGCACGGCUGUCGCCAACU
This 288-nucleotide ribosomal RNA is filed under the name uncultured bacterium. Its description in RNAcentral is "partial 16S ribosomal RNA". It matches the Rfam family "Bacterial small subunit ribosomal RNA", at positions 773 to 1060 of the family's 1533-position model. The record is from RNAcentral.